Molecule: unclassified non-coding RNA, 289 nt
Filed under: uncultured fungus
Lineage: Eukaryota; Fungi
Description: partial contains 5.8S rRNA, ITS2 and 28S rRNA
Rfam family: Eukaryotic large subunit ribosomal RNA
Source: RNAcentral
AAGGAGUCUAACAUAUCUGCGAGUAUUUGGGUGUCAAACCCGAGGGCGCAAUGAAAGAGAACGUAGGAGCCACGCGCAAGCUGCAGCUUCGACCGACCUGGGUCUCUAGUUAUGGAUUUGAGUAAGAGCAUAUAUGUUGGGACCCGAAAGAUGGUGAACUAUGCCUGAAUAGGGCGAAGCCAGAGGAAACUCUGGUGGAGGCUCGUAGCGAUUCUGACGUGCAAAUCGAUCGUCAAAGUUGGGUAUAGGGGCGAAAGACUAAUCGAACCAUCUAGUAGCUGGUUCCUGC